UAAAGAUCCGUCGGAUGAGGAUAGGCUCGCGUGACAUUAGCUAGACGGCGGGGUAACGGGCCACCGUGGCGACGAUGUCUAGGGGUUCUGAGAGGAAGGUCCCCCACACUGGAGCUGAGACACGGUCCAGACUCCUACGGGAGGCAGCAGUGAGGAAUAUUGGUCAAUGGCCGGAAGGCUGAACCAGCCAUGCCGCGUGAAGGUCAGUGCCCUAUGGGCGUUAAACUUCUUUUGUGCGGGAGCAAUAAGGGCCACGCGUGGCCUGACGAGAGUACCGUACGAAUAAGCAUCGGCUAACUCCGUGCCAGCAGCCGCGGUAAUACGGGGGAUGCAAGCGUUAUCCGGAUUUAUUGGGUUUAAAGGGUGCGUAGGCUGUGAGGUAAGUCAGCGGUGAAAUGCCCCCGCUCAACGGGGUGAAGUGCCAUUGAUACUGCCUUGCUGGAAUGCGGAUGCCGUGGGAGGAAUGUGUGGUGUAGCGGUGAAAUGCAUAGAUAUCACACAGAACACCGAUUGCGAAGGCAUCUCACGAAUCCGCGGUUGACGCUGAUGCACGAAAGCGUGGGUAUCAAACAGGAUUAGAUACCCUGGUAGUCCACGCUGUAAACGAUGAUGACUAACCGUCGGCGAUACACAGUCG
This 637-nucleotide ribosomal RNA is filed under the name uncultured bacterium. Its description in RNAcentral is "bacterial SSU rRNA". It matches the Rfam family "Bacterial small subunit ribosomal RNA", at positions 202 to 839 of the family's 1533-position model. The record is from RNAcentral.